CCCUUCGGUGGACGCUAAGACAGGUGGUGCAUGGCUGUCGUCAGCUCGUGUCGUGAGAUGUUGGGUUAACGUCCCGCAACGAGCGCAACCCUUGUUAUUAGUUGCCAGCAUUAAGUUGGGCACUCUAAUGAGACUGCCGGUGACAAACCGGAGGAAGGUGGGGAUGACGUCAAGUCAUCAUGCCCCUUAUGACCUGGGCUACACACGUGCUACAAUGGGCAGUACAACGAGAAGCAAGCCUGCGAAGGCAAGCGAAUCUCUGAAAGCUGUUCUCAGUUCGGACUGCAGUCUGCAACUCGACUGCACGAAGCUGGAAUCGCUAGUAAUCGCGGAUCAGCACGCCGCGGUGAAUACGUUCCCGGGUCUUGUACACACCG
Molecule: ribosomal RNA, 377 nt
Filed under: uncultured bacterium
Lineage: Bacteria
Description: bacterial SSU rRNA
Rfam family: Bacterial small subunit ribosomal RNA
Source: RNAcentral